RNAcentral lists this ribosomal RNA (448 nucleotides) under uncultured bacterium. Its description in RNAcentral is "bacterial SSU rRNA". It matches the Rfam family "Bacterial small subunit ribosomal RNA", at positions 355 to 825 of the family's 1533-position model. The record is from RNAcentral.
UGGGGAAUUUUGGACAAUGGGGGCAACCCUGAUCCAGCCAUUCCGCGUGCAGGAUGACGGUCCUAUGGAUUGUAAAGCUCUUUUGGCGGGGACGAUAAUGACGGUACCCGGAGAAGAAGCUCCGGCUAACUUCAUGCCAGCAGCCGCGGUAAUACGAAGGGGGCUAGCGUUGUUCGGAUUUACUGGGCGUAAAGCGCGUGUAGGCGGGUCGUUAAGUUGGGGGUGAAAUCCCGAGGCUCAACCUCGGAACUGCCUUCAAAACUGGCGACCUGGACCUAAGUAGAGGCAAGUGGAAUUGCGAGUGUAGAGGUGAAAUUCGUAGAUAUUCGCAGGAACACCAGUGGCGAAGGCGACUUGCUGGACUUAUGGUGACGCUGAGACGCGAAAGCGUGGGGAGCAAACAGGAUUAGAUACCCCCGUAGUCCCUGAGCGGGCUGGCAAGGCGCAU